CCUGAGAUGGCAGAGCGGCUCAUGCAACGGUCUGUAAAACCGUAUAAGGUAGGUUCAACUCCUACUCUCAGGACCA
This 76-nucleotide transfer RNA is filed under the name Candidatus Gottesmanbacteria bacterium CG_4_10_14_0_8_um_filter_37_24. RNAcentral describes it as "tRNA-Tyr". It matches the Rfam family "tRNA". From Rfam's summary of the family: Transfer RNA (tRNA) molecules are approximately 80 nucleotides in length. Lineage: Bacteria; Candidatus Gottesmaniibacteriota. The record is from RNAcentral. RNAcentral also lists the same sequence under 2 other names.